CGAGAGAAUAUCAAAUGGAGUCUUAUUUAUAUGUCAACUGAUAUUUUUCUAGUGGGAGUUAUGUAAGUAAUCCUUUAACCUGAGAUCAUCAUGGUACCUUAUGUACUUGGAUCCAUAUUUUGGUUCACCACCUAACAUGGUUCUUUGAUCUUUGUGUGGGGUAUUUUUGAUAUGGUGAAGUGUGCAUGGAGGUUGUGAG
This 199-nucleotide long non-coding RNA is filed under the name Elaeis guineensis (African oil palm). Its description in RNAcentral is "long non-coding RNA (EGUI_LNC051414)". Lineage: Eukaryota; Viridiplantae; Streptophyta; Magnoliopsida; Arecales; Arecaceae. The record is from RNAcentral.